CCCGUCACAUCACGAAAGUGGAUUGUACUAGAAGUCUGCACGCUAACCCGCAAGGGAGGCAGCGGCCCGAGGUAUGAUUCAUGAUUGGGGUG
RNAcentral lists this ribosomal RNA (92 nucleotides) under uncultured bacterium. RNAcentral's name for it is "partial 16S ribosomal RNA". The record is from RNAcentral.